UCGGAUUGUAGUCUGCAACCCGACUACAUGAAGCUGGAAUCGCUAGUAAUCGCGGAUCAGAAUGCCGCGGUGAAUACGUUCCCGGGUCUUGUACACACCGCCCGUCACACCAUGGGAGUCGGAAAUGCCCGAAGUCUGUGACCCAACCGGAAGGAAGGAGCAGCCGAAGGCAGGUCUGAUGACUGGGGUGAAGUCGUAACAAGGUAAC
Molecule: ribosomal RNA, 208 nt
Filed under: uncultured bacterium
Lineage: Bacteria
Description: partial 16S ribosomal RNA
Rfam family: Bacterial small subunit ribosomal RNA
Source: RNAcentral